This 400-nucleotide ribosomal RNA is filed under the name phytoplankton environmental sample. Its description in RNAcentral is "partial small subunit ribosomal RNA". It matches the Rfam family "Eukaryotic small subunit ribosomal RNA", at positions 587 to 991 of the family's 1831-position model. The record is from RNAcentral.
AGCUCCAAUAGCGUAUAUUAAAGUUGCUGCAGUUAAAAAGCUCGUAGUUGCAUUUCCGAGGCAAGGGAUUAGUCCGACCUUUGGUGGGUAUUUAAUCCUCUUGCCUCGUCCUUGAGUGGUGCUUCUUGGUAUUAAGUUAUCGAGGAGAUAGCCGCUCAUCGUUUACUGUGAGAAAAUUAGAGUGUUCAAAGCAGGCUUAUGCCGUUGAAUAUAUUAGCAUGGAAUAAUAAGAUAGGACCUCGGUACUAUUUUGUUGGUUUGAGAACCAAGGUAAUGAUGAAUAGGGACAGUUGGGGGUAUUCGUAUUCAGUUGUCAGAGGUGAAAUUCUUAGAUUUACGGAAGACGAACUACUGCGAAAGCAUUUACCAAGGAUGUUUUCAUUAAUCAAGAACGAAAGUA